GGUUGUAUGGUGUAGGGGUUAGCACAUCGGAUUCUGAUACCAAAAACUUCCGGGGACCCCGGUUCGAUUCCGUAAGUUUA
This is a non-coding RNA of Tothia fuscella, 80 nucleotides long. The record is from the annotation of a GenBank genome assembly. NCBI's taxonomy places the organism in Eukaryota, Fungi, Ascomycota, Dothideomycetes, Venturiales, Cylindrosympodiaceae.